This 2611-nucleotide long non-coding RNA is filed under the name Nicotiana tabacum (common tobacco). Its description in RNAcentral is "long non-coding RNA (NTAB_LNC009702)". The record is from RNAcentral. Lineage: Eukaryota; Viridiplantae; Streptophyta; Magnoliopsida; Solanales; Solanaceae.
CUUUCUGAAAAUUUCAUUUUCCUUUAUUAAAUGAAAUAUUAAGGUUUUGUUGCCUUAAUUAAUCUGAAAGUGUUUACUUAACUUUUAUGCCAAGUAUCUAAUUUUACUAUAUAUGCGUUUCUUCAGAAUUCUCCUAUUAAUGAAAAUUAGUAUAUGUACCUGCGCGAUGCACGGAUUAGUUCAAAGGAAAAAAGAGCUGAGAGAGAUAAUAGAAAAAGAAGUAUAUAUAGCAUUAGCCACGGGAAAGACCAAAGUCCUCUCCAUUGUUGCAUCAAUUAAAAGCGUAUUAUUUUUGCCUUUAAGAGUACGUUUCGAACAUUUAUGCAUAAUCUUUUCUUCCAUAUUCUUGAUAAUAGUAUAUUGCAUAGACGCUCCAGAUCAUACGUUGUCGUCUAAUAUUCUUGACUUGCAUAAAACUAACAGUAUCAUAUCCUUGACUUGCAUAAAACUAACAGUACCAUAAUGAUUCUGAAAAAUUACAUGAGAAAUUCACUCGUUUCUUUUUUGGUUCUUUUGCCUAAUUGAAAGAAAACUUCCUAGUUCUCUUCGAGAUAUUUAAUUUAAAAAAGAAUGAAAAGCUCCUAAGAACAUGUAAGAUUAAUUUUUACCAAUAGCCAUGAGACCAAGAAGAAAAGAAAGAGAGCUUACUGACCAAAUAUUUUCCACUUUAUAUCAAGUAAGCAAGCUAGCUCAAUUGUAGGGCCUUAAGGGUCUUCUCCAACAACCUUAAUUCUGCAUCUUGGAAUCUGAUAGGGAUUUAUGCUCAUGCACGCCUGAUCUGGCAUGACCCUUCUUCUGCACUGAAAACUUCAAUAUAUCUGGAGAACGAAAAAGAACUUAUGGGUGUUUGAUUUGGAAAUUAAAGGAGCAUUAAUUGAUAGCAUCCUAUAGCUUUAAUGUAAAUUAAAGGAACAUGUAUCCUUCUGUAGAAGAUUCUAAAACAUUAGUCAAAAUACUUAUGAACUUAUUCAACCUGUAAUAGUUGAGGCAAUAUGAUAGAAAGAAAUGGCAUAACCAUAAUUGUUACACUUUUGGCCCAAAGGUAUUGCCGUCAGAAGAAACCAAAAUAAGUAAAUUAUGUUAGUUUGAGAAAAUUGGGAAUACCAGAGAGGCUAAAUCAUCAGUUUCUCAUGUUUUUAAUUAACGCAAUCCAUAUAGUAUGACUUUAGUUUUUUUCUAUCACAUUAUUAUUUUAUCAUCAUUAUAAGUCGAGAUGAAUUAUUAGCUCAUAUAGAGCUAUUUCUAAAUAAACAUGUAUUUACAAAUGAAGCUCUUUAUGAUUUUCAUCACGAGUUAUAAGUAGGAAGAGAUUGAAUAUUGUAAUGAUGAUGGUGGAUAAAUAACAAAUGAAGUUAGAAAAUUAGUAAGUAAAGAUUUUUUUAGAUUCAUUUAUUUAUAAUUUAUUCGUUUUGAAUCAUCUUAUAUUUUCAUAUUAUUUGUAGCACGGCCUAUAUAAUUACAAUAUCUAAGUAUCAUUCAAAAGUUAUUUGAUAAUUGUAUGAGUUGUUUAUAUAAUUACAAUUAAAUAUUACCACAAUUAACAACUACACAAUGCAUCUUAUACAAAAGAAACAUGUUUCAAACCUGAUUGUGCCCUCUUAGAAUAAAGAAACAGAUAAUAAUUGACUAACCAUCCUUCUUACAAAAAUAGCAGCAAUUUAUCACAAAACACAAUCUUGUGAUACAAAUAUUAAUGCAGUUUAUUAAGUUUUAAUACAUCAUAUAUGUCUACUUACUACUGAAUAUAAACCCUUGAAUUCUAAUAAUCAAGUUCUUUAGUGUAUCCUUCGAAGAAUCCGGGUUUGACCAGAUCUAAAAUUUUAUGAUCAAAUAUAUCUAUCCACAUAUAUAAGUAAAAUAAGUGUCAUCUUAAAGGACAAAUUAAAAGUGAGCAUGUACUUACCUCGCAUUCCUUCUCUUCAUCUACGCCUUGAAUAGUAUUGAAGUCAGGAUCUUAACAAAUAUAAAAAUUACUGAGUUCGAAAAAGACUUAAAAUAAUAGACUUAACAAAAAUCUGCAACUUAACUACAUGUUUUUGCUAUUGAUUAUCCCAUGAAUAUGCACAUAGAAAUUAAAAAAAUACACGAAAUGCAAAACAAAAAAUUCAGAUUUGAAAAUAAAAAAACGUAGAAGCAAACGUGAUAUAUGUUGCAGUAUACCACUGAGAAACAUAUUUGAGGAUACAUAUGUUUAGUGCAUAAAUUCUUCAAUCGACUUUUGGUAUUGAUUAUCCCAUGAAUACACACAUGCAAAUUAAAAGACAGAGUUACCAAAACAAAGUUUUAAUACCUUUUCAUCUUGUAGAACCUAUUCAAUCGAGAAAGUAGUGUCUAAAUUGUAACGAUCUGGUUCUUCCGAAAUAUUGCAUUCUUGAAAUUUUUAUAGCCUUAAUUCAAUUUUUGCAGAAAUUGUACUGUUUCUUGAAUUUUUUAUAGCAGUGGAAGAUUUGAAUUUAAGAACACUAUCAAUCGGAGAAAUAGCAGUUGGGCGGAAGUUUGGUUUUGUGAGUUUCAUGUGCGUAUGUUUCAUGAGUUAUGCGUGGUCGAGCAACUGUCCAUUAUCCUUAGAUUGGGUUUUGUAGAGAAAAUUUAGGAAAAGUGGGUUUAAAAU